RNAcentral lists this ribosomal RNA (253 nucleotides) under uncultured bacterium. Its description in RNAcentral is "partial 16S ribosomal RNA". It matches the Rfam family "Bacterial small subunit ribosomal RNA", at positions 524 to 776 of the family's 1533-position model. The record is from RNAcentral.
UACGUAGGGUGCAAGCGUUGUCCGGAAUUAUUGGGCGUAAAGAGCUCGUAGGCGGUUUGUUGCGUCGACGGUGAAAACCCAUGGCUUAACUGUGGGCUUGCCGUCGAUACGGGCAGACUAGAGUGCGGUAGGGGAGACUGGAAUUCCUGGUGUAGCGGUGAAAUGCGCAGAUAUCAGGAGGAACACCGGUGGCGAAGGCGGGUCUCUGGGCCGUUACUGACGCUGAGGAGCGAAAGCGUGGGGAGCAAACAGG